GUUUUAUUUUGUUUUAUCUUUUCUUUUAAAAUUUAGAAAAAAAAUAUUUCCAAGAUUCCUUUCCCAUUACUCACGUUCUCAAAUUUUUCUCACUUUCCCAUUCGUUUGCUUCAUGUUUGCUCCAAUAGAGAAAUUUCACAAAAAAAUUGUUCUUCUUUCUUCUUUUUUCUACUUGAAAACUUCUUUACUUUCUUGUUUAUGGUUCAUUGGGUUAUUCAAUUUUGGUGAUUGAGUUGUUUGCAACUCCGUUUCGUGUAAGUAAUGUUUCUUUUAUUAUUUAGUAUUUCUUUCUUCUUUUGUUAUGGGGGUGUUCAUUUCCUUAUCUUUUGUUCAAGAAGGGGUGUCUGUGUGACGCGUUAUUCCGUAUUAAUUGUUUGAGGUCUUCUAGAUGACAUUCAUGAGAUGAUUGCUCCUCUGGAAAAUUACGUUUUGUGGUGUUUGGCUAUUUUGUUGGGGGUAUUGGAUUGCUUAAUUCUUAAAAUUACAUCAGAAUCAGUCAAGGUGUGUAAUGAAAACCCGAAAAAAUAGUGAAUGAUGAAAGCCAAAAAAGGAGAUUGUCGAUGCCAUAUGGCCGUGUACCAAGCCAUGUGGUAGGCCAUGUGUGACACACGGCUGUGUACUAAAUUAUGCAAGACACACGAUUUGGGCUAAUUGGGCCGUGUGGGCCACAUAGGCGUAUGGGUCAAACAGGCGUGUGUGAUAUCGUGUGGGCCCAAAAUCCUGAAUUUUUUCGUAGGGCCCAUAUAUUAUAAUUAAGCUAUAAAAAUGUGAUUCCUAAAAAAUUGUUAAGCAUAAAACUUGAUAUAAGUACGAUCAAAGUAUGUGUAUUUAUCAUGUAGCAUAAAAAGUAUAGUUUGUAAAACAUUAUGAGGAUUCUGUAAUAUGAUAUGACUGAUCUAUCUAUGCUAUAUGAGAAUGUAUAAUAUA
This is a long non-coding RNA of Gossypium arboreum, 927 nucleotides long. RefSeq lists it as uncharacterized. NCBI's taxonomy places the organism in Eukaryota, Viridiplantae, Streptophyta, Magnoliopsida, Malvales, Malvaceae. The record is from RefSeq and is a predicted model, not a curated record. The transcript has 2 exons.